CCCUAAACGCAAGGUUAGAGAAUUAAAGGUUUGCCUCAUUAGUGUCAACGGCGACCGCAUGAAGGGAUCAGACAUCCUGCAGACUCCAGUUGCAUGGAACUGCAUUUCUGAACCCACUGUCCCUUAGUAUCACUAAGCAGCAACACUGUAAGCUGACUUUCAAGAGUUCAGCACUGGGCAAUUCCCCACUGACACUGAUGGGAAAAUGAGACUGCCCUACAGUUCACUUAAAAAGCCCACUCCAUGGAGAUUGGAUCCAGGCAGAGUACUUGUACAACCCCACGGAUGACAGCCAGGUAUCCGUUUUCCUGCUUUGGAGUGAUAUUUUCUGCCUAGCACGGAGAGUUGUGGUGGAACUAGCAACAUGUCUCUGAAGAGAUCGGUGACAAUGACAGCUUCUGUACAUUGAGUUUCACAGCCCUUUUCAGCUGAGAUAGUACUUCAUUUAUUUUUAAUCUAAGGAGCUACAGUGUUGACAGAGUGAUGAAAAUUGGCUAACUUGUUGUUUUCCCCCAUUUUGUUUGCUUGAUUACAUGUGCAGGACUGUGUCCAUGCAAGGUUUUGGUUUGAGGCAGAAGCUUCACAAACUUUCUUCUAACACUUAGGAGCAGGCAGUGACUCCAGGCUGAGCAGCAAGGAGUUCUCCAUCCCAAAACAAGGGCAACUCAAGAGCAAGAAGGAAUCUUCAUGACAGAGAGAUGUGGGAACAUCAUCCUCCAAAGAACCCUGCUUUGGGGUUUGGUCUAUCAUUUAAUUACAAGAGGGAGCUAUCACUGAAGCCACCAGGCACCGAAUUGGGAUAUUCAUAGUCACCUGAAGAAGGCUUGUGGCACUUCAUCUAGAGCUGGUUUUAUCCAUAUUUGGCACAUGGAAGCAGGAAACGACUGGAGGCACCCCAUACACCUUCCUGCUCCUUCUGCUGCCCUGUCCUCAGCUCUGAGCAGAAGGAUCCCAACUUCCGUAACCCAACACAGAGACCAGUCAAAAGGAGUUCCAUCCCCUGCACUGAAUUAAUAAAUGGCAGACUCUGUACAUAAGUGGUAACUCUGGCAAAACAGCGUGCUUCUGCAAUUGAAUGUUGGGGUCUUCUUGGUUUGGUCAAGCAAGCCUGAAUCAUUUCACAGAAACCAGGGGCCACUGUUGGAACAGAACUUCUCAUAGUUCAGGUAAGGAGCUGCAUAACCCAUUAUGGUGAUGUUCCCUAUGGAAAUAAGCUCUGUUACCAUGCCAUCUGCACCUGACUGCUGGCAGUUCUCUUCUGUCCAUAGCUUAUGUCAUGGUUAAGCUCAGCCACGUGCCAGAGGGGUCCGUGACUCAGGU
Molecule: long non-coding RNA, 1320 nt
Filed under: Numida meleagris (helmeted guineafowl)
Lineage: Eukaryota; Metazoa; Chordata; Aves; Galliformes; Numididae
Description: lncRNA (ENSNMEG00000016955.1)
Source: RNAcentral